Molecule: long non-coding RNA, 1164 nt
Filed under: Heterocephalus glaber (naked mole-rat)
Lineage: Eukaryota; Metazoa; Chordata; Mammalia; Rodentia; Bathyergidae
Description: lncRNA (ENSHGLG00000048491.1)
Source: RNAcentral
CUUGUUUAGGCUUCUUAAACAUCUAUGCUCUCCUUCUCAGCAGUGACCUUCUGGGUUUGACCUAAACACUUCUUCAUUCACCUUGAAUUUCUCAGGGUCUCCGUUGACUUACCCGUGGGCCGGGACAAGUGGCGCCCAACGUGGGGCCCAAGAACGGGGGAUCCAGUGAAGAACGCUGCUUGGGGCCCCAAUAAAAUAGAAGAGGCAAAUAAAAUAGAAAAAAGAGGAUUGCGUUUGACGUGAACCUGCCGUCUUUCCUGCACCUCGGGUGCAGGUAUUCUUCUCUACUCCAAGGACUCAAAUGAACGACUGGAGGUAUUUCAGAGCAGAAGCUUUAAGGAUGGACACAUGGCUCUCCACAGCUCUUAUCCCUCUGCUGGUACGCUGGCAAAAUUCCCCACAGAGCCUGUCUUGCAGCCUGAGCCAGAGAGAGAGAAAGAAUAUGGAACCACAGCCAGCCUCUGCAGACCUGCAGUGGGACCAAGACGCAAACCUUUGGGCUCUCAGCCAGACUUGCAAACACUUCUGAAAAGGGCCAGAGAGGAAAUACUGUACGGGUUACAAGCCAUGUGGUCUCUGUCAGAACUACUCAACUGUGCCUCUGUGUCAGGAAAGCAACCACAGGCAGCAAGAUGGGACCAGGAAUACACAUUCCUAAGAUGUUUUCAAGUGAGGCUGAUUUUACAGACCCGGAGACCAAAUACCCUGACCUCUCUUGAUUGAUACAUCAUCUGCAAAGGGAGGUUGCCUCGCAGGGUUGUGGUCCCAGUUAAAUGAGAUAGUGUGACAUGAUUAGGACACUCUGUAAGUUCUCAGCAAAAGUUGGCCAACACUGUGGUGUGAGUCAUCACACACAUGCAUAUAUGUAACACAAUUCUCUUGCUGUUAGAAAUAAAAAAUGGUCAAUGAGGAGAUGAACAUUUGCUUUAUGGGCAAGUAUUCAAGGAUGAUCCUGGGGACUGAACUUUGGUCCUUCACACUGAGUAUGUCCUCCCCACUCUGAGACAGAAUCUUGCUAAGUCACUAAGUUGCAAUCUUCCUGCUUCAGCCUCUCAGAGUGCUGAAAUUACAGACAUAUGCCACAAUGCCUGGCUUAAAUGGAACUUUUUUAUGGCUCAUUUAUAAUGGGGAUUGGGUGUAAACUAACUUCUAGCUGGGAGAGUG